GUAGGUGGCAAGCGUUGUCCGGAAUUAUUGGGCGUAAAGCGCGCGCAGGCGGUCCUUUAAGUCUGAUGUGAAAGCCCACGGCUCAACCGUGGAGGGUCAUUGGAAACUGGAGGACUUGAGUACAGAAGAGGAAAGCGGAAUUCCAAGUGUAGCGGUGAAAUGCGUAGAGAUUUGGAGGAACACCAGUGGCGAAGGCGGCUUUCUGGUCUGUAACUGACGCUGAGGCGCGAAAGCGUGGGGAGCAAACAGGGAUUAGAUACCCUGGUAGUCCACGCCGUAAACGAUGAGUGCUAAGUGUUAGGGGGUUUCCCGCCCCUUAGUGCUGCAGCUAACGCAUUAAGCACUCCGCCUGGGGAGUACGGCCGCAAGGCUG
Molecule: ribosomal RNA, 373 nt
Filed under: uncultured organism
Description: partial 16S ribosomal RNA
Rfam family: Bacterial small subunit ribosomal RNA
Source: RNAcentral